This 995-nucleotide ribosomal RNA is filed under the name uncultured bacterium. RNAcentral describes it as "bacterial SSU rRNA". It matches the Rfam family "Bacterial small subunit ribosomal RNA", at positions 28 to 1017 of the family's 1533-position model. The record is from RNAcentral.
AUUGAACGCUGGCGGCAGGCUUAACACAUGCAAGUCGAGCGGGGAUUGGGUGCUUGCACCUAAUCUUAGCGGCGGACGGGUGAGUAAUGCUUAGGAAUCUGCCAUUUAGUGGGGGACAACAUUCCGAAAGGGAUGCUAAUACCGCAUACGCCCUACGGGGGAAAGCAGGGGAUCUUCGGACCUUGCGCUAAAUGAUGAGCCUAAGUCGGAUUAGCUAGUUGGUGGGGUAAAGGCCUACCAAGGCGACGAUCUGUAGCGGGUCUGAGAGGAUGAUCCGCCACACUGGGACUGAGACACGGCCCAGACUCCUACGGGAGGCAGCAGUGGGGAAUAUUGGACAAUGGGCGGAAGCCUGAUCCAGCCAUGCCGCGUGUGUGAAGAAGGCCUUUUGGUUGUAAAGCACUUUAAGCGAGGAGGAGGCUACCUGGAUUAAUACUCUAGGAUAGUGGACGUUACUCGCAGAAUAAGCACCGGCUAACUCUGUGCCAGCAGCCGCGGUAAUACAGAGGGUGCGAGCGUUAAUCGGAUUUACUGGGCGUAAAGCGUGCGUAGGCGGCUGAUUAAGUCGGAUGUGAAAUCCCUGAGCUUAACUUAGGAAUUGCAUUCGAUACUGGUCAGCUAGAGUAUGGGAGAGGAUGGUAGAAUUCCAGGUGUAGCGGUGAAAUGCGUAGAGAUCUGGAGGAAUACCGAUGGCGAAAGCAGCCAUCUGGCCUAAUACUGACGCUGAGGUACGAAAGCAUGGGGAGCAAACAGGAUUAGAUACCCUGGUAGUCCAUGCCGUAAACGAUGUCUACUAGCCGUUGGGGCCUUUGAGGCUUUAGUGGCGCAGCUAACGCGAUAAGUAGACCGCCUGGGGAGUACGGUCGCAAGACUAAAACUCGAAUGAAUUGACGGGGGCCCGCACAAGCGGUGGAGCAUGUGGUUUAAUUCGAUGCAACGCGAAGAACCUUACCUGGCCUUGACAUAGUAGAAACUUUCCAGAGAUGGAUUGGUGC